Molecule: ribosomal RNA, 419 nt
Filed under: bacterium
Lineage: Bacteria
Description: partial 16S ribosomal RNA
Rfam family: Bacterial small subunit ribosomal RNA
Source: RNAcentral
UGGGGGAUAUUGCACAAUGGGCGAAAGCCUGAUGCAGCGACGCCGCGUGGGGGAUGAAGGCCUUCGGGUUGUAAACUUCUUUUGCUCUGAACAAGGCAUGCUAAUGGGUGUGUUGAGUGUAGGGGUUGAUUAGCGCCGGCUAACUACGUGCCAGCAGCCGCGGUAAUACGUAGGGCGCGAGCGUUGUCCGGAAUUAUUGGGCGUAAAGGGCUUGUAGGUGGCUGGUUGCGUCUGUCGUGAAAGCUCAUGGCUUAACUGUGGGUUUGCGGUGGGUACGGGCUGGCUUGAGUGCAGUAGAGGAGGCUGGAAUUCCUGGUGUAGCGGUGGAAUGCGCAGAUAUCAGGAGGAAUACCGGUGGCGAAGGCGGGUCUCUGGGCUGUUACUGACACUGAGGAGCGAAAGCAUGGGGAGCGAACAGG